RNAcentral lists this ribosomal RNA (479 nucleotides) under uncultured bacterium. RNAcentral describes it as "partial 16S ribosomal RNA". It matches the Rfam family "Bacterial small subunit ribosomal RNA", at positions 28 to 507 of the family's 1533-position model. The record is from RNAcentral.
GAUGAACGCUGGCGGCGUGCUUAACACAUGCAAGUCGAGCGAGAAGUUUUGAAAAGAUUCUUCGGAUGAAAUUUAAAAUGGAAAGCGGCGGACGGGUGAGUAACGCGUAGGCAACCUGCCCCAUACAAAGGGAUAGCAUUUGGAAACGAAUAUUAAUACCUUAUGAAACUUAACUAGUGCAUGCUAGGUAGGUCAAGGAUUUAUCGGUAUGGGAUGGGCCUGCGUCUGAUUAGCUAGUUGGUGAGGUAACGGCUCACCAAGGCGACGAUCAGUAGCCGACCUGAGAGGGUGAACGGCCACAUUGGAACUGAGACACGGUCCAAACACCUACGGGAGGCAGCAGUGAGGAAUAUUGCACAAUGGGGGAAACCCUGAUGCAGCAACGCCGCGUGAACGAUGAAGGCCUUUGGGUCGUAAAGUUCUGUUCUAGGUGAUGAAAACUGACAGUAACCUAGGAGAAAGCCCCGGCUAACUCCGUG